This 67-nucleotide transfer RNA is filed under the name Sorineuchora nigra. Its description in RNAcentral is "tRNA-Asp". The record is from RNAcentral. Lineage: Eukaryota; Metazoa; Arthropoda; Insecta; Blattodea; Pseudophyllodromiidae.
AAGAAAUUAGUUAAUUAAAUAAUAUUAACUUGUCAAGUUAAAGUAAUCAUAUUAAUGAUAUUUCUUU